RNAcentral lists this ribosomal RNA (135 nucleotides) under uncultured bacterium. RNAcentral describes it as "partial 16S ribosomal RNA". It matches the Rfam family "Bacterial small subunit ribosomal RNA", at positions 355 to 507 of the family's 1533-position model. The record is from RNAcentral.
UAAGGAAUAUUGCGCAAUGGGCGCAAGCCUGACCCAGCAAUGCCGCGCGGGUGACGAAGGCCUUCGGGUUGUAAAGCCCUUUUCUCGGGGAAGAUAGUGACGGUACCCGAGGAAGAAGCACCGGCUAACUACGUG